AUUGAACGCUGGCGGAAUGCUUUACACAUGCAAGUCGAACGGUAGAGGGGGCAACCCCUUGAGAGUGGCGAACGGGUGAGUAAUAUAUCGGAACGUGCCCAGUCGUGGGGAUAACGUAGCGAAAGUUACGCUAAUACCGCAUACGAUCUAAGGAUGAAAGCGGGGGACUCGCAAGAGCCUCGCGCGAUUGGAGCGGCCGAUAUCAGAUUAGGUAGUUGGUGGGGUAAAGGCUCACCAAGCCAACGAUCUGUAGCUGGUCUGAGAGGACGACCAGCCACACUGGAACUGAGACACGGUCCAGACUCCUACGGGAGGCAGCAGUGGGGGAAUUUUGGACAAUGGACGCAAGUCUGAUCCAGCCAUUCCGCGUGCAGGAUGAAGGCCCUCGGGUUGUAAACUGCUUUUGUACGGAACGAAAAGGUUUCUAUUAAUACUAGGAGCUCAUGACGGUACCGUAAG
Molecule: ribosomal RNA, 459 nt
Filed under: uncultured bacterium
Lineage: Bacteria
Description: bacterial SSU rRNA
Rfam family: Bacterial small subunit ribosomal RNA
Source: RNAcentral